AUGCUUGCUUCGGCAGCACAUAUACUAAAAAUUGGAAUGAUACAGAGAAGAUUAGCAUGGCCCCUGAGCAAGGAUGACAUGCAAAUUUGUGAAGCGUUCCAUAUUUUA
This 108-nucleotide small nuclear RNA is filed under the name Castor canadensis (American beaver). The record is from RNAcentral. Lineage: Eukaryota; Metazoa; Chordata; Mammalia; Rodentia; Castoridae.